RNAcentral lists this ribosomal RNA (264 nucleotides) under Acidithiobacillus sp. enrichment culture clone AZCT-M125-5. Its description in RNAcentral is "partial 16S ribosomal RNA". It matches the Rfam family "Bacterial small subunit ribosomal RNA", at positions 38 to 301 of the family's 1533-position model. The record is from RNAcentral. Lineage: Bacteria; Pseudomonadati; Pseudomonadota; Acidithiobacillia; Acidithiobacillales; Acidithiobacillaceae.
GGCGGCAUGCCUAACACAUGCAAGUCGAACGGCAGCACGGGUGCUUGCACCUGGUGGCGAGUGGCGGACGGGUGAGUAAUGCGUAGGAAUCUGUCCAAUAGUUUGGGACAACCCAGGGAAACUUGGGCUAAUACCGGAUACGUCCUGAGGGAGAAAGCGGGGGAUCUUUGGACCUCGUGCUAUUGGAGGGGCCUACGUUCGAUUAGCUAGUUGGCAGGGCUAAGGGCCUACCAAGGCGACGAUCGAUAGCUGGUCUGAGAGGAC